This 446-nucleotide ribosomal RNA is filed under the name uncultured bacterium. Its description in RNAcentral is "partial 16S ribosomal RNA". It matches the Rfam family "Bacterial small subunit ribosomal RNA", at positions 338 to 795 of the family's 1533-position model. The record is from RNAcentral.
CCUACGGGUGGCAGCAGUCGAGAAUCAUUCACAAUGGGGGAAACCCUGAUGGUGCGACGCCGCGUGGGGGAAUGAAGGUCUUCGGAUUGUAAACCCCUGUCAUGUGGGAGCAAAUUAAAAAGAUAGUACCACAAGAGGAAGAGACGGCUAACUCUGUGCCAGCAGCCGCGGUAAUACAGAGGUCUCAAGCGUUGUUCGGAAUCACUGGGCGUAAAGGGUUCGUAGGCUGUUUCGUAAGUCGUGUGUGAAAGGCGCGGGCUCAACCCGCGGACGGCACAUGAUACUGCGAGACUAGAGUAAUGGAGGGGGAACCGGAAUUCUCGGUGGAGCAGUGAAAUGCGUAGAUAUCGAGAGGAACACUCGUGGCGAAGGCGGGUUCCUGGACAUUAACUGACGCUGAGGCACGAAGGCCAGGGGAGCGAAAGGGAUUAGAUACCCCUGUAGUC